This 880-nucleotide ribosomal RNA is filed under the name uncultured bacterium. RNAcentral describes it as "bacterial SSU rRNA". It matches the Rfam family "Bacterial small subunit ribosomal RNA", at positions 96 to 953 of the family's 1533-position model. The record is from RNAcentral.
CGGCAAACGGGUGAGUAACACGUAAGUAAUCUACCUCCAAAUCCGGGAUAACCUUGCUAACGCGGGGCUAAUACCGGAUGUGGUCCCAUGGUUCAUGAUUGUGGGAUUAAAGAUGACCUCUAUUUAUAAGUUAUCGCUUGGAGAUGAGCUUGCGGCCCAUUAGCUAGUUGGCGGGGUAAUAGCCCACCAAGGCUGUGAUGGGUAGCCGGCCUGAGAGGGUGUACGGCCACAUUGGGACUGAGAAACGGCCCAGACUCCUUCGGGAGGCAGCAGUAGGGAAUUUUGCGCAAUGGACGAAAGUCUGACGCAGCAACGCCGCGUGAGUGAUGAAGGUCUUCGGAUUGUAAGACUCUGUUGAGUGGGAAGAAAAGUUACAGGUCUAAUAUAUCUGUAGCCUGACGGUACCAUUCGAGGAAGCCCCGGCUAACUACGUGCCAGCAGCCGCGGUAAUACGUAGGGGGCAAGCGUUGUUCGGAAUUACUGGGCGUAAAGGGAGCGUAGGCGGGUCAGUAAGUUAGAAGUUUAAUGCACAGGCUUAACCUGUGACUUGCUUUUAAUACUGCUAAUCUUGAGUAUGGAAGAGGGAGAUGGAAUUCCAGGUGUAGCGGUGGAAUGCGUAGAUAUCUGGAAGAACACCAUUAGCGAAGGCGGUCUCCUGGUCCAAUACUGACGCUGAGGCUCGAAAGCUAGGGGAGCAAACAGGAUUAGAUACCCUGGUAGUCCUAGCUGUAAACUAUGGAUACUAGAUGUUGGGGGAGUCAAUCUUUCCAGCGUCGUCGCUAACGCAUUAAGUAUCCCGCCUGGGAAGUACGCCCGCAAGGGUGAAACUCAAGGAAUUGACGGGGGCCCGCACAAGCGGUGGAGCAUGUGCUUUAAUUCG